ACUCCUACGGGAGGCAGCAGUGGGGAAUAUUGGACAAUGGGCGCAAGCCUGAUCCAGCCAUGCCGCGUGUGUGAAGAAGGCUUUCGGGUUGUAAAGCACUUUCAGGAGUGAAGAAAAGCGUUGGGUGAAUAAUCUGACGUCUUGACGUUAGCUCCAGAAGAAGCACCGGCUAACUCCGUGCCAGCAGCCGCGGUAAUACGGAGGGUGCGAACGUUAAUCGGAAUUACUGGGCGUAAAGCGCGUGUAGGCGGUUCGUUAAGUGGGAUGUGAAAGCCCUGGGCUCAACCUGGGAAUUGCAUUUCAAACUGGCGGACUUGAGUGCAGUAGAGGGAGGUGGAAUUCCAGGUGUAGCGGUGAAAUGCGUAGAUAUCUGGAGGAACAUCGGUGGCGAAGGCGGCCUCCUGGACUGACACUGACGCUGAGACGCGAAAGCGUGGGGAGCAAACAGGAUUAGAAACCCCAGUAGUCC
RNAcentral lists this ribosomal RNA (469 nucleotides) under uncultured bacterium. RNAcentral describes it as "bacterial SSU rRNA". It matches the Rfam family "Bacterial small subunit ribosomal RNA", at positions 335 to 796 of the family's 1533-position model. The record is from RNAcentral.